This 162-nucleotide ribosomal RNA is filed under the name uncultured bacterium. RNAcentral's name for it is "partial 16S rRNA". It matches the Rfam family "Bacterial small subunit ribosomal RNA", at positions 355 to 511 of the family's 1533-position model. The record is from RNAcentral.
UAGGGAAUCUUCCACAAUGGACGAAAGUCUGAUGGAGCAACGCCGCGUGAGUGAAGAAGGUUUCGGAUCGUAAAGCUCUGUUGUUGGUGAAGAAGGAUAGAGGCAGUAACUGGUCUUUAUUGACGGUAAUCAACCAGAAAGUCACGGCUAACUACGUGCUAG